UAGGGUUUGAUUCUGGCUCAGGAUGAACGCUAGCGGCAGGCCUAACACAUGCAAGUCGAGGGGUAACAUAAAGUGCUUGCACUUUGAUGACGACCGGCGCACGGGUGAGUAACGCGUAUACAAUCUGCCUCAUACUAGGGGAUAGCCCAGAGAAAUUUGGAUUAAUACCCUAUAGUAUCAUUUAGAGUCAUCUCUUCAUGAUUAAAGGUUACGGUAUGAGAUGAGUAUGCGUUCUAUUAGUUAGUAGGUGAGGUAACGGCUCACCUAGACCACGAUAGAUAGGGGCCCUGAGAGGGGGAUCCCCCACACUGGUACUGAGACACGGACCAGACUCCUACGGGAGGCAGCAGUGAGGAAUAUUAGACAAUGGGCGAAAGCCUGAUCUAGCCAUGCCGCGUGCAGGAUGACGGCCCUAUGGGUUGUAAACUGCUUUUAUACAGGAAGAAAAAACUCUACGUGUAGAGUCUUGACGGUACUGUAAGAAUAAGGAUCGGCUAACUCCGUGCCAGCCGCCGCGGUAAUUCA
RNAcentral lists this ribosomal RNA (525 nucleotides) under uncultured Flavobacteriaceae bacterium. Its description in RNAcentral is "bacterial SSU rRNA". It matches the Rfam family "Bacterial small subunit ribosomal RNA", at positions 1 to 527 of the family's 1533-position model. Lineage: Bacteria; Pseudomonadati; Bacteroidota; Flavobacteriia; Flavobacteriales; Flavobacteriaceae. The record is from RNAcentral.